This 1237-nucleotide long non-coding RNA is filed under the name Trifolium pratense (red clover). Its description in RNAcentral is "long non-coding RNA (TPRA_LNC012928)". Lineage: Eukaryota; Viridiplantae; Streptophyta; Magnoliopsida; Fabales; Fabaceae. The record is from RNAcentral.
AAUAACCAAAAACUACUUCAAUUGUUGCUGGUAUUCUCCUCUAUGUUCUUGAAUCUCUGCCUCUCCAAAACUGUCCAAAACUGUCUUAUAUAUAUGUACAACGUACAGUCCCCCCAAACUGUGUUUGAGCAGCCCUAUUUAUAGUCACACAAUUGCCGCCUCAUAUUGUUCCUUAAGAGCUCAAAAUUCCCUUUUCCUUAAUCUGUAAGAUCUCUCUCCUACUUCACCGCCUUAGCUACUUGCAUUUGAGUUGUCAGAGCUCUUCAAAUUGCAUGUUAAGUUGCUGUAGAAGACAAAUUGAUUUUCUUAAUUGUGAAGGCACCCCCCUUAAUCUUCACCGCCACAUAACCUUUGUAUUCUCCUUUCCAAUUUCCUCAUUCUAAUUGCGAGGCACACAGCUCUUUCUUUCUUUCUUUGGACCAGCGUAAGUUAUACUUACUCAUUUCGGCUUGUUUGCAUAAAAUAAGAUAAAUGGUAAAUGGUAAGUAGUUAAUACUACUACUACUACUAAUAAUAAUAAUAAAAUAUAUCAUGUUUAGUGAUUCAAAAAUUGGAUUUACAUCUUUUUAUCUUUUCUUCUCUUUUCUAUAAUAAGAUCAAAUCAAGCUAGUAAUCUAUAUAAUAAUAAGUAACUAUUCUAAAAUACCACAAAAAGUAUCUACAUAUAAUACACUAAAUUGGAGUUUAUCAAUAACCAUAUUUCUGUCGAAUUUGAUCCGUUUGGUUUUUCUGUGAAGGAUUUUCAGACGGGGACGGUUCUAAUGAGAUGUGAGAGCCAACGCCAGCUAUAUCCCAUCUCCAACACAGCCAAAAAUAAAAACAAAUUUUCUUCCGAGUUUGCAGAUUUAUCUACUUCUAUUUGGCAUGACCGUUUAGGUCACCCAGAAGCAUCUAUUUUAGAUUCUCUUAGGAAAAAUAAAAUGAUAGAUUGUAUUGUUACUUCAAAGUCAAAUUCAACUUCUUGUCAUUCUUGUCCUCUUGGUAGGACUGUUUGGAUGUAUACUGUGGCUGAUUAUUUCUAUAAACGCCGCCGAAGUCGUUAUAGAGACUAUCUAUAUAGUCAUCUACAUCGUAUAUGACCCUGCACCUGUUCGGGUAUAUACACAUUUAUAUUUAUAAAUUCUAGUUUAUUUAAAAAUUAUUUGUACGUUCUAAGUUUGUGAUCGGUUCUUUCUUGGUCUAUUUGAUAGUCUUUGUUUGUAGCUCAUUGGGAAUAUUUAUUUUUGUUUAAACAAAG